This 119-nucleotide ribosomal RNA is filed under the name Rodentolepis nana. Lineage: Eukaryota; Metazoa; Platyhelminthes; Cestoda; Cyclophyllidea; Hymenolepididae. The record is from RNAcentral.
GUCAAAAGCGUCACUUUGUUUGGUUUUCAAUUUAUGAUCCGAUCACCGAAGUUAAACUACGUCGGGCCGGGUUAGUACUUCCAUGGGUGACCGGCUGGGAAUACCCGGUGUUGCUGACU